Molecule: long non-coding RNA, 1155 nt
Organism: Tympanuchus pallidicinctus (lesser prairie-chicken)
Lineage: Eukaryota; Metazoa; Chordata; Aves; Galliformes; Phasianidae
Exons: 2
Source: RefSeq, a predicted model, not a curated record
CGGUAGGCCUGUUGGAUUCAGAAUAAGAGAAUAUAACUCCCAGAGCCUAGCCCUGUCUGCACUCCCAUAGAUAUGGGCACUCAGAAGUGAGACCACAUCUGGAGUACUCCAUCCUGAAUGCAACCCUAGCAUACUGCUGACUGUCCCUGUUUUGUAUGAUCAGAAAAGUGCUACUAUUGCCAUGAAGUGACAUAUUACCUUUCAUUAACCCUUACAUUUCCUAGAUGAUUGUGUUUUUUCUCCUUUUGUGACAUCCAUUCGUCACACUCUCAGUUGGAGGACUGACAGGAUUGAGAUCUUACUUCUUCAGAAGUGAUCUUACUUCUUUAGAAGUUUAAAGCAACUAUUUCUUCUUCCUGGUGAUUAUAGUGAUAGUGAAUUUUUCAACUGAAAUGUAAAAGUCGGGGGUGUUAUAGAAUAAAUAGAGUAGAUAUGCUAAGCCAGUUUAAGUGACAACACUUUUCGGGAAGAGAGGAUAAAGUUAAGGAAUGAAGCAAGUCAUUAAGCUGAGCAAAAGUGGAAAAAAAAAAAAAAAAAAAUCAGGGGAGCAGAAAAAUGAAUAGAUAGGGCACGCACAAAUCAAUGGCAGGACUGUCAUUAAACUCAAAAGGAGGCAAGUUUUGUUCCCUAAAGAAGGACAAUUUUUGCAAUGACCCUCGUUGUCCACUUUGCAUCAUAUCUCUUUGAAAUUUUAGGCCCCUUUCUUCCAUCUUGAAUGCAGGAUUGCAUAUAUGCAAUACUGGGAAACAAGAACAUUCUGCCUCUAAAACAAUUUUGCUCACACUUCCACCUGCUCACCCUGCCACAUCAUCUGCCUCCUGGAGCAGCCCAGCCUGGCCAAGGGGUGGAUGGAGCCAGGCUGAAUGAAUGAAUGAAUGAAUGAAUGAAUGAAUGAAUGAAUGAAUGAAUGGGGCCUUAUAAAUAUUUCUAUAAUUAGUCAAAGCACAGUAAUUUUUUUCCCUACAGGUUAAAUACUGCUGAUUAGCUGCUUACUUUUUAGAAAGUUCUCUGUCCUUAGUAUUUACACGAGUCUUUUUCUGACCUGCUGUAAGCCCGUUAGUCCAAACCAGCUUUUUUCUUUUUUUCUUUUUUCCCCAAGACUAUUUUUAUGAUUUUCAAGGAUCAAAUAACAUCUAUAACAAUUAGUUUUCCAUA